UACGUAGGGCGCAAGCGUUGUCCGGAAUUAUUGGGCGUAAAGCGCGCGCAGGCGGUCCUUUAAGUCUGAUGUGAAAGCCCACGGCUCAACCGUGGAGGGUCAUUGGAAACUGGGGGACUUGAGUGCAGAAGAGGAGAGCGGAAUUCCACGUGUAGCGGUGAAAUGCGUAGAGAUGUGGAGGAACACCAGUGGCGAAGGCGGCUCUCUGGUCUGUAACUGACGCUGAGGCGCGAAAGCGUGGGGAGCGAACAGG
This 253-nucleotide ribosomal RNA is filed under the name uncultured bacterium. RNAcentral's name for it is "partial 16S ribosomal RNA". It matches the Rfam family "Bacterial small subunit ribosomal RNA", at positions 524 to 776 of the family's 1533-position model. The record is from RNAcentral.